This 738-nucleotide long non-coding RNA is filed under the name Ananas comosus (pineapple). RNAcentral describes it as "long non-coding RNA (ACOM_LNC028589)". Lineage: Eukaryota; Viridiplantae; Streptophyta; Magnoliopsida; Poales; Bromeliaceae. The record is from RNAcentral.
ACGAAGCGGUGUAAUCAGCUCCUAGCUGAUCUAACACUAUGUAAAGAGGAAAUGGAGAGGGAAAGGAAGAAUGAGGAGGAGAGAGUGAUGGAGAGGGAGAAGGGAGAGGGAGAGAGAGGAGGUGAUGGAGAGGGAAAAGAAGAAUGAGGAGAAGAGAGUGAGGGUGAGGGAGAUGGGAGAGAGAGGAGGAGAUAGGGAGAGAGAGGAGGAGAUGGAGAGGGAAAAGAAGAAUGAGGAGAAGAGAGUGAGGAAGAGGGAGAGAGAGGAGAAAGUGACCCCGGAUUAGGGGUGGAACUGGGCCGGGCUUGGGUCGGGUAAUACUAUGCCCAAGCCCGGCCCAAAAGAAAAUGUUGGGCUUCGGGUCGGGCUUUUAUCCAAUUUUGUUUGAAAAUUAAGGCCUGGCCCAAGCCCAAGCCCAAUGCCCAAUACCCAUCUGGCUUUGUGAAGGCUCAUUUUAUACAUUUAUCAUAUAAUACAUAAAUACUUUUAUUUGUAUAAUAAUAUGUACCAUAUAUUUACUCAUAAAUAUGUAUAAUUAAUUAAUUAUAAAUAAUAAUUCUAUUUAAUAUAUCCUAAUAUGGAACUAAAUAUUUUGUUAAUAUAUAAUAUAUCCCCAUAUAUGUAUAUACCAUUAAUAACACAUAUAUUAUAUAUGAUAUAUUAUAUAAUUUAUUCUUUUUAUAAAUAAAUAUUUUAUAUAUAUAUAAUUAAAUAUUUUAUUUUAAUAAUUAAUAUAUC